UGGGGUAUAUUGGACAAUGGGGGCAACCCUGAUCCAGCCAUGCCGCGUGAGUGAAGAAGGCCUUAGGGUUUUAAAGCUCUUUCAGUCGUGACGAUGAUGACGGUAGCGACAGAAGAAGCCCCGGCUAACUCCGUGCCAGCAGCCGCGGUAAUACGGUGGGGGCAAGCGUUGUUCGGAUUUACUGGGCGUAAAGGGCGCGUAGGCGGGGUAUCAAGUUAGGGGUGAAAGCCCGGGGCUCAACCUCGGAACUGCCUUUAAAACUGAUACUCUAGAGUCCGGAAGAGGAGGGUGGAAUACCCAGUGUAGAGGUGAAAUUCGUAGAUAUUGGGUGGAACACCAGUGGCGAAAGCGGCUCUCUGGUCCGGAUCUGACGCUGAGGCGCGAAAGCGUGGGGAGCAAACAGGAUUAGAUACCCCCGUAGUCC
RNAcentral lists this ribosomal RNA (424 nucleotides) under uncultured prokaryote. RNAcentral's name for it is "bacterial SSU rRNA". It matches the Rfam family "Bacterial small subunit ribosomal RNA", at positions 355 to 796 of the family's 1533-position model. The record is from RNAcentral.